RNAcentral lists this unclassified non-coding RNA (3133 nucleotides) under Ixodes scapularis (black-legged tick). RNAcentral describes it as "uncharacterized LOC121046592, transcript variant X2". Lineage: Eukaryota; Metazoa; Arthropoda; Arachnida; Ixodida; Ixodidae. The record is from RNAcentral.
AAUCAUCCAGAUGGUGCCGGAUUGUUCAGCCGUCAGUUUUGUUGUCUUUAAAUAAACCAGUUUUUUUUAUGAACGUUCGAUGAUGUUACUUCGAAAACUUUAGCAUUCCGAAGUGGGAUUACCGCUGAGCCUCCCCAGAACAGUGGUGGCUGCGACAGCCACGUUCACGCCGACGAACGUGAGUCUUCUUCGCGGGCGGUGGUGCGCGUCCAUUGUUUCCGCCACCGACGAGAGGCCGUUCAGUGUUCCCGUUGACUCGACGAGAAAGCACAGCCAUGGCCGCGGACCGUGAGCUCGUACGGACCCUGGCGUCGCAACCGGGCUUCGCAUCGGUGACCGCGAUGCCAGACUUGACGGCGUCCAUUCCCGCCUUCUCUGACUCGUCGUCGGCAGCGAGCGCCAUGAAGUGCGCGGUACUGGGAGGCGCAUAUCAACACGGUGGCGGCGCAACGCAGUCCGGGUGGAGCGAUGAAAUAACGCUCGCUGUUGCUUCAUCGAAGGUGAGCGGGACGGCUUGAGUGGCAUCCAGCGACUGGAAACUUGGUCGAAAUGGGCUGAAGAACUGCAGAUGGUGUUCCCCGAUGAUGACGAUUCGCACUCUACGAGAUGAUGCUCCGGCGGACACAGACCGGAACAAGCAGCCCACAAGAAAAAAAAAAGACACUGUGGAGGACAAGCUUCUCAAAAAGCUUCGCCAGGAGCUGAAAGGUCACAGGCUCCGUGCAUCUUCUGGGGAUCCUGAGGACGUUGCAUCACAAGCUCGAGGACCUGUCUUCGCUGUACCUGCCCUGGCCUCUGCUGAAGAGGCCUCUGCUAGGUCCAAGGAGGCCCGGAUAAAGGAGGGCGAGACCUGGGCCAACAAUGUCGAGACCAGGGCCAGUGAGCCUCAGACCGGGGCCGAAGCCAGGGCUAAUAAGGUCAAAGCCUGGGCCAACGAGGCCGAAGCCAGGGCAGGGCCACCGAGGCUGAAGCCAGCAUGGAGCAGGUUGAGACCAGGACCGACCUGACUGGGGGACGCUGAGGCUAGGGCGGCCGAGGCCAGAGCACAGGAGGUCGAGGUUGUAACGUAGCGUCCUCUGCAUCCGGAUGUAAGGUGAAACAGUAUAACCUAUUUGUCCAGGCCUAACUGCUCGAUGUCGCAAAUUUGCAACCUAAAAGAUUUUUUGCUUAGAAGUUCAUUUGCACCAAAAAUAACUUUAGUGAUCGAUUACAUAUACACAUUUGCAGGUACGUCCCCUGGGCGCCGCCAUCUUCCUAGCUGGAGAGCGCGUGAGCUGCGCCAUAACCUAAUUACGAUGCCUUGAGAAGAAGACGUAGUCAGAUUAUGGCGCGGCCCACAGUGUACCUAAGUACCCCCCAGUAAGCAAGAUGGCGGCGCCCAUAGUAAAACAUUUUUCUUAUCUACACUUUGCUUUAAUUCCCUGCGUUAAAUGGUCAACAAGCUUCUUCAUAUCCCAAAAUGAGUACUACUGCUGCUACCAUUCUUUGUGAUUCUGUAAGUUUUUUUCGUUAAACUGAAUGCUGAUACAGGAGAGACUUUUUCAAAAUCAGGGUAGGCAAUAUCUGUGAUGGUAAAGCACUGAAUCGUGAUGCGAGAGCUGACCCUGCUUGGGUUUGGAGUUUGACUGUCUCUAUGUUUACACACAGUGUCAAUUUUCAUGCCUCAAUUUGCUGUUCUCCUUACAGGAAUAACUUGUGCAUUUCUCUUUAAAGUUGCAGCUGUACAUAGGUGAAAUGGCGCCACUCAUAGUAUGAUAUAGAGUGGCAGCAGCAUUCUUACUCGAUUUGGGAGCGGUUUGUGAAGCGGCGUGUUGACAGUGAGUGCCCGUGUCGAAAGGAGUGAAAUAUGCACAAAAAUACUGAAUGUGCACUAGGAGAGAAAUUUUGAAAAUAAAAGUGACAGCCACUGAACUGAGCUGACUAAGAUCAGGGAAUGAGAUUUGAGGGGUAUUGGGGUGGCGAAGCAGUCUGAAGGGAGAGCAAUAUUUCUAGUGCAAGUUAAAGGGCUCGGAUAAUUUCACAAAUAGUUUCUUUAUGGUGAGUAUACACAUGUCCAGCAUGGGAUUUCAGGCUUGGAUUUCACAGCUUCAUGCUUUCCCACCAUUCAUAUUAAAAGUUUGAAGUCUAGGAGCAAGUUUGGUGCAGUGUUUGCUUUAAUCGUGUGCACUUUUAAUUUUCCUUAAUGUUAAACCAGGUGUCACAUGUGUGUAACUUCAAAGCGCCUGUGAUUUCAGUGUUGACUGUUGAACCAGUAAUUUUCUUAUAAUUUGAUGCUUCCUACCGGCAGGUGUGCCACCCCUUGUUGCGGCUAUGGAGACUCGUGGAGUGGCAGGCCCUGUGGUUCAAGAGGAUAUUGUGUAGAAUAUGAUAACCUUUGGAGACAUUGCGCUUCCUGAAGCGCAGUUGAAGCAUGUCGACACGAAGCAGCCAUCCAUUUACGUUCAGGAACUCGCGGUCAUGGUAUUUGAAACUGAGGCCCUGACAAACUGCUGCCUUACGGGGUCGGCAAUGAAGGGAAAGCUUCCUAAGAAGGGAGUUAAGGACUUGAUAGGCUUUUAAAGGGGUUAUGAAAUAGUCCUCAGACUUCGGCCAACUUUUGUUACUGCCAAUUCCCUGGAGAAACUCGGAAGUCCGUGAAAGAAUACCUGUAAAGGAAGUGCAGCAAUGCUUCCUACACUCAAAACAAAGCCUCCAACACACAAAAGAAAACUGCAGAAUGAAAAAAAAAAAAAAUUAGCUUUCAUUUUCAUUUAUUCUGCGCAUUGGCUUUUUUUUUCUCUUAAAUCUGAUUAGCGAUUAAUUUAGAUUUUAUUUAACAAGUGCAUUAACUUUUUUCAUUCAUUUUACUUCAGUCAUGUAGGUGAUGUUACUUCAGUCAUGGUAGAUGAUAAAUAUUGUAGGUUUUAUAUUAACAGGUGCAAUACUAUUUUUGCUCGUUUUUCUUCAUCAUGAUAGUUUGUAAUUAUUUUUUUCUUCUAAUAAGAGCUUGUUUAUAAAGCUUUAAGUGCAUCUGUGAUAUUUGUAAGCCACUAAAAGUAUUACGUUUUUUGUUCCAUCGUAAGUGUUUGUUUUAGGCAACAUGUGUUCAUUAUAUUGAAAAAAAUAUUUGUUUAAUAAAAAGUUCUUACUUUAA